GUCUUUUUGAUUAUAAUUUAAAGUCUGACCUGCCCAAUGAGUAUUUGAAUGGCCGCGGUAAUUUGACCGUGCAAAGGUAGCAUAAUCAUUAGUUUUUUAAUUGGAAGCUGGAAUGAAUGGUUGGACGAGAAAAUAACUGUCUCAAUUUAAUUUCAUGUAGAACUUUAUUUAUAAGUAAAAAAGCUUAUAUAAUUUUAAAAGACGAGAAGACCCUAUAGAGUUUUACAUUUAAUUAUAUUAGUUAAGUUUAGUAUAUUUACAUAUUUAAUAUGUUUAAAUGUUUUGCUGGGGCAGCAGAAAAAUUGAAUAAACUUUUUUUAUUACUAUUACAUUGAUUUAUGAUUUAAUGAUCCAUUUUUUAUGAUUAUAAGAUUAAAUUACCUUAGGGAUAACAGCGUAAUUUUUUUUUAGAGUUCUUAUCGAAAAAAGAGUUUGCGACCUCGAUGUUGGAUUAAAAUUAACUUUUGGUGUAGGGGCUAAAAGGUUAGGUCUGUUCGACCUUUAAAAUUUUACA
Molecule: ribosomal RNA, 514 nt
Filed under: Anomala semicincta
Lineage: Eukaryota; Metazoa; Arthropoda; Insecta; Coleoptera; Scarabaeidae
Description: partial 16S ribosomal RNA
Rfam family: Bacterial large subunit ribosomal RNA
Source: RNAcentral